GAUAAACGCUGGCGGCGCACAUAAGACAUGCAAGUCGAACGAACUUAAUUGAGAGCUUGCUCUCAAAGCGGUUAGUGGCGGACUGGUGAGUAACACGUAAGCAACCUGCCUAUUAGAGGGGAGUAACAGCGAGAAAUCGUUGCUAAUACCGCAUAUGCUGCGAGUAUCGCAUGAUACAAGCAGGAAAGGAGCAAUCCGCUAAUAGAUGGGCUUGCGUCUGAUUAGUUAGUUGGUGGGGUAACGGCCUACCAAGACGAUGAUCAGUAGCCGGACUGAGAGGUUGAACGGCCACAUUGGGACUGAGAUACGGCCCAGACUCCUACGGGAGGCAGCAGUCGGGAAUAUUGCGCAAUGGAGGAAACUCUGACGCAGUGACGCCGCGUGCAGGAAGAAGGUUUUCGGAUUGUAAACUGCUUUUAACAG
Molecule: ribosomal RNA, 423 nt
Filed under: Clostridiales bacterium oral taxon 085
Lineage: Bacteria; Bacillati; Bacillota; Clostridia; Eubacteriales
Description: bacterial SSU rRNA
Rfam family: Bacterial small subunit ribosomal RNA
Source: RNAcentral